This is an RNA transcript of Hemibagrus wyckioides, 2688 nucleotides long. It is a transcript of the gene named protein arginine methyltransferase 8b, with no coding region annotated. The transcript is spliced from 10 exons. The record is from RefSeq and is a predicted model, not a curated record. NCBI's taxonomy places the organism in Eukaryota, Metazoa, Chordata, Actinopteri, Siluriformes, Bagridae.
CACCAGAUCAAGAACCGUAAAUCUGUUGCCCUAUAUAGGAGAAAUAAAAAUAUCCUCGGUCCAUUUAACUGUAAGAAAUUGCGCUCGGCGUGUUCAGUCAGUGUGUAAGAUGUGUGGGCAGGUGGAGGUGCCAUUGCGCGUGUAGGAGGCACCGAUAUAGUUUCGGGAUCAUCUCCAUGUACUUCAUUCGCUUUAACCCGCUCUUGUCCUGCGCAACACCGAGCCAACUUCUUCUAUUCGGGGCUGAACUUUCUUUCAGGAAGAUCUGGACAGAUUAGCAAGGCGCUCGAAUUACUCCUGGAUACAUAGGCUAUAAUUACAUUGGAGUAUAUUAUAAAACAUGUCUAUUAUAUACCUAUAAGACGAAUGGUAUUUAAGGGAUGUGUGCAAUUCGCAACGAUGCUGUAAUCCAACAGUGUCAGACACUGAGGCUUUUUACAGGAUCAACUGGUUUCCUUAAGUGUCGCUUUCUAGGAUCUUUCUGUUAACUUUGCACAAUGGACUACAGGACUCGUAUGUUUCUUGUCUCAAGUCGCGUCUUGACGGAAGAAGGCAGAGCGACAAAUCUGUUUCAAAAGUCCUUAUGACAAUCUCAUAAUCAAAUUCUUGAUCUAGGAGAAGUAUUUUUUUAUUUUAUUUAAGAAGCGAAGUGCGUUUAUAAAGAAUAAACCUACCUGUCACAUUGCACACUUUAGUGUAUGGUAAACUUCUGCAAAGAGAUCUAUAGGCUUACAUUCCACUAAAAAACAUAGGAGGAAUUUGAGUUCAUCGGAAUCCCGUUGGCUCAUAUGGGACUGAGGCACUCAUCACGGUGCCUGCUCCUGCGCAGAAAGAUGGCGGAGGCUGAGAGCUCGGAGCAGAAGCAGCAGCAGCGGCAGCAGAGCACUAGCAAUCCUCCCUCUUCACAGCCUCCCCCUGUGCCUAAGCCCAUGGCAUCAGUUCAUCAUGUCCCUCGUCCCCCUCACACCCCACACGUCUCAGCACUCUCCACCUGCCCUGGACGUGGAAAAAUGGCGAAACUCCUCAAUCCAGAGGAAAUGACCUCACGAGAUUACUACUUUGACUCAUACGCACACUUUGGCAUUCAUGAGGAGAUGUUAAAGGAUGAGGUGAGAACACUGACCUACAGGAACUCCAUGUACCACAAUAAACACAUUUUUAAGGAUAAGAUUGUUCUAGACGUGGGCAGUGGAACGGGAAUUCUCUCCAUGUUCGCUGCUAAAGCAGGAGCCAAACAUGUCUAUGGGAUUGAAUGCUCAAGUAUAUCAGAGUACUCAGAGAAAAUCAUCAAAUCUAACCACCUGGACAAUGUUAUUACCAUCUUUAAAGGGAAAGUAGAGGAGACUGAACUGCCUGUGGAUCAGGUGGACAUUAUUGUCUCUGAAUGGAUGGGAUACUGCCUUUUUUACGAAUCCAUGCUGAAGACUGUCAUUUACGCCCGGGACAAAUGGCUGAAGCCCGGAGGGUUCAUGUUCCCAGAUAGAGCAACAUUACACGUGGUGGCCAUAGAGGACAGACAAUACAAAGACUUUAAAAUCCACUGGUGGGAGAAUGUUUAUGGUUUUGACAUGACCUGCAUUCGCAAUGUCGCCAUGAUGGAACCACUGGUUGAUAUUGUGGACCCGAAACAAGUGGUGACCAACUCCUGCCUUAUUAAGGAGGUGGACAUCUACACAGUAAAGUUGGAAGAUCUGACCUUCACCUCAGCCUUUUGCUUGCAGAUCCAGAGAAAUGACUACAUCCACGCUCUUGUCACCUACUUCAACAUCGAGUUCACCAAGUGUCACAAGAAGACCGGCUUCUCCACAGGUUCACUUUCAUCUACCAGCUCUGACGAACCCCUGAUGCUCCUAGUACUCACUGGAAGCAGACAGUAUUUUACCUAGAGGAUUACCUGACAGUGAGGAGAGGGGAAGAGAUCCUGGGCAGCAUUGCCGUCAAGCCCAAUGAAAACAAUGAGCGUGACUUGGACUUCACCUUUGAGCUGGAUUUCAAGGGGCAGCUUUGUGAUGCAGCGAUUUCCCACGACUACAAGAUGCGGUAGGAUUCCAACAGAGGGAGAUGUUCCCUAACAGCUCGACCAACCAGAGGACCACGCAGGAGGCUGUUAUAUGCUCUGACCGAACACCGAGACCAGCAGCAGAAUAUGAGACCAGUGUGAAUCAUGUUCAAAGAGCAAUAGUGUCAUCAGUCCUCCAGUUUUGCAAAACUACCAGUCUGUGAGAGAGAGCACCACUUUGAAUGUAACUGUCAAUGAGAAUGUCUUAGUUGUUAUUUAUUUUAGUAAGAAAGCAUGACAGCCAGUACAGUGUUGAAUAGUAAUCUACAAGGUAAUGUCAUUAAAAAAAAAUGAGGCAUCGUGCCCAUCGUGCUUGAGCACAGUAAUCGGAUUUACAGAAUGAGUAUUCUAAUAUCAGACAGCAUGGGGAAAGAUAUUAAAAAUGAGACAUUUGAUUGUUUGUUUUCAAAUAUUUCAUUUACUCCUUAUUACUAAACAUGUUUAAUUGUUACUUCUGGGUUUUUUUUUUGUGGUUGAAUGAUUUAUAUAGUAAUUGGCAUGUUUUAUUCUUCAUGAUGAUUUUUUUAAUGAAUUAAAAAUUGUUUCUUUGGCCUAAUCAAACAUUUUAUGCAAACAUUUGUUAGUAAUUUGGGAUGAUGGAAGUGGUGAAUAAAUCAGAGGUGUGAAAA